UACGUAGGGACCAAGCGUUGUUCGGAUUUACUGGGCGUAAAGGGCGCGUAGGCGGCCACCGCAAGUCGACUGUGAAAUCUCCGGGCUUAACCCGGAAAGGUCAGCCGAUACUGCGGGGCUAGAGUGCAGAAGGGGCAACUGGAAUUCUCGGUGUAGCGGUGAAAUGCGUAGAUAUCGAGAGGAACACCUGCGGCGAAGGCGGGUUGCUGGGCUGACACUGACGCUGAAGCGCGAAAGCUAGGGGAGCGAACGGG
This 254-nucleotide ribosomal RNA is filed under the name uncultured bacterium. Its description in RNAcentral is "partial 16S ribosomal RNA". It matches the Rfam family "Bacterial small subunit ribosomal RNA", at positions 524 to 776 of the family's 1533-position model. The record is from RNAcentral.